ACCUGCAGUCGAGCGGCAGCGGGUCCUUCGGGAUGCCGGCGAGCGGCGGACGGGUGAGGAACACAUGGGAAUCUGCCCAGUCGUGGGGGAUAACGUAGGGAAACUUACGCUAAUACCGCAUACGACCUUAGGGUGAAAGCGGCGGACCGCAAGGCGUCGCGCGAUUGGAUGAGCCCAUGUCGGAUUAGCUAGUUGGCGGGGUAAAGGCCCACCAAGGCGACGAUCCGUAGCUGGUCUGAGAGGAUGAUCAGCCACACUGGAACUGAGACACGGUCCAGACUCCUACGGGAGGCAGCAGUGGGGAAUAUUGGACAAUGGGCGCAAGCCUGAUCCAGCCAUGCCGCGUGAGUGAAGAAGGCCUUCGGGUUGUAAAGCUCUUUUGUCCGGAAAGAAAAGUCUUCGGUUAAUACCCGGGGAUUCUGACGGUACCGGAAGAAUAAGCACCGGCUAACUUCGUGCCAGCAGCCGCGGUAAUACGAAGGGUGCAAGCGUUACUCGGAAUUACUGGGCGUAAAGCGUGCGUAGGUGGUUCGUUAAGUCCGAUGUGAAAGCCCUGGGCUCAACCUGGGAAUGGCAUUGGAUACUGGCGGGCUAGAGUGCGGUAGAGGGUAGUGGAAUUCCCGGUGUAGCAGUGAAAUGCGUAGAGAUCGGGAGGAACAUCUGUGGCGAAGGCGACUGCCUGGACCAGCACUGACACUGAUGCACGAAAGCGUGGGGAGCAAACAGGAUUAGAUACCCUGGUAGUCCACGCCCUAAACGAUGCGAACUGGAUGUUGGGUGCAACUAGGCACUCAGUAUCGAAGCUAACGCGUUAAGUUCGCCGCCUGGGGAGUACGGUCGCAAGACUGAA
RNAcentral lists this ribosomal RNA (850 nucleotides) under uncultured bacterium. RNAcentral describes it as "bacterial SSU rRNA". It matches the Rfam family "Bacterial small subunit ribosomal RNA", at positions 53 to 898 of the family's 1533-position model. The record is from RNAcentral.